This 253-nucleotide ribosomal RNA is filed under the name uncultured bacterium. RNAcentral describes it as "partial 16S ribosomal RNA". It matches the Rfam family "Bacterial small subunit ribosomal RNA", at positions 524 to 776 of the family's 1533-position model. The record is from RNAcentral.
UACGUAGGGUGCAAGCGUUGUCCGGAAUUAUUGGGCGUAAAGGGCGCGUAGGCGGCCUGGCAAGUGGAAGGUGAAAUCCCUCGGCUUAACCGAGGAACUGCCUCCCAAACUGCUUGGCUUGAGACCGGGAGAGGUGAGUGGAAUUCCCAGUGUAGCGGUGAAAUGCGUAGAUAUUGGGAGGAACACCAGUGGCGAAAGCGGCUUCCUGGACCAGUACCGACGUUCAGGCACGAAAGCGUGGGGAGCAAACAGG